UCCGGCCUGCGCACCGGCCCCUCAGCCACAGGCUCCGCCCCGCGCGCGGCCCGGGGACCUCGCGCGCGGCCCGGGGACCUCGCGCCCGCGCGCCGUCGUCGUCGUGCCUGCCCUCUGCUGUGCCUGAAGACAGAGCGAUUCUACACGCUUCAGUGCACGCUCUGUUGAUAAAACAGAUGAUGGAGGCGAGGCCUGUGUGAAGGUAGAAAAGCGGCGGAAGAUGUACGUGAUUUUUUUUUCCCCCCUCAAGGCGCCUUUGGAACACCCCCGCAUUCCCUCCCCGUGGACCCAGCCUUCCUCGCGGGGAGUAAUGGGGGUUGUAGUUCGCUUGCAGGCGGGGCCCUCCGGCUCUCCCGACCAGGCUGUGAGGAAGGAGCGAACCCUCGGUCGCCUAUGGGAAGGUCUUCUCAGGAUCGUGGCCGAGCCCUACGGAGCUGGGAGUUGAAACUUUCCAUUCCUGGCGGUGACGCCAGCAGGCUCAAGCUUAACCCUUAGACUCCUGUUUCACACCAUCUUUGGACAUUCUGGACAAGAACCCAUGGAGAAGGUGCUCUGAGACACUCAAGCUCCUGCUGUCUUGUCAUCCUACCCCUACAAGCAACCACCCAGUGACGUGACCUUGGGAAACUCAUUUACGCAGCAAACUCGUCAUCUGUAGAAGGAGACUAAAUAAGUUCUCUCUAAUGUUGUACGGAAGAUGAAACGAGAGACUCUGAUAAGUCAUAAAGCAUACCAUUUUGACCUGGGCCCAAUACAAGUGUAAAUCUCUUUUGGUGGCCAUGUGUAAAUCUCUUUUGGUGGCCAUGCCCAUCACUGUUCACGGUACAGGGUGGAUUAGAAAAUGUUUGACUAAAUAAAAAUAGCAAUUUACAGAGUGUUUUCAGAGUUGAUGACUGGUGUUCUAAUUGUUUAAGUGCCUAGCUUCUCUGGCUGUGUAAUAUUAGUAAGGAGCCAGCUACAUCAUUUGUAAAGCGCAGUGCAAAAUAGAAAUGCAGGAAGGGUCCCUUGUUCAAAAAUUAUUAAAAAUUUUAAGAUAGCAACACCAGCACACUAAGUGAAGAUGCUUUUAAGUGUGGGGCUGGGGUCACUGAAAAGAUUCCAGACCCCUAGAGGGGGUUCUGAACGUAAUUAAGAAAAUAGACUCUGGAGCUAGAUUCCUUGUGUUCAAAUCCCAGCUGUCCUGUUUUUUAGAUACAUGAUCUUGUGCAAGUGACUUAACCACUGUGCCUCAGUUUCCCCAUCUGCUAAAGGAAGGUAAUUAGAAUAUCCAACUCAAAGGUUAUUGUCAGGUUAAAUGAAUUAUUUUCAAAAAAUGAUUAAAAUUGGCACACUGAGAGCACUUAAUUACUGGUAACAAUUAUUAGCAUUAUUUUUAUUUUUGUACUGAGCCCUGUGAGAUAAGUGUUAAUAUUAUUCCAUAGGAAACUAAGGGCCAUAUGUAUCUUGUGCACUAAUGUGUACCUAGGACUUAGCAAAGAUCCUGGUGCUUUUGCUGCCUGAAGCCACUGAAAAUUAAGGUUGCUCUCAGACAAGGUAAAGGCAACUCACUUUACUUUAAUACACUGGUAUUGGUACUUGAAGCUGCGUCAGACAGACUCAAAGGUCCAUUCUCUAAGCUAAUAUGCUACACUCUUUCCAGCAUUAAAAACAUGGAAUGCCUGGGUGGCUCAGUCUGUUAA
Ailuropoda melanoleuca (giant panda) is the source of this 1679-nucleotide long non-coding RNA. RefSeq lists it as uncharacterized. NCBI's taxonomy places the organism in Eukaryota, Metazoa, Chordata, Mammalia, Carnivora, Ursidae. The record is from RefSeq and is a predicted model, not a curated record. The transcript has 3 exons.